This 322-nucleotide ribosomal RNA is filed under the name uncultured bacterium. Its description in RNAcentral is "bacterial SSU rRNA". It matches the Rfam family "Bacterial small subunit ribosomal RNA", at positions 28 to 334 of the family's 1533-position model. The record is from RNAcentral.
GAUAAACGCUGGCGGUGCGCCUAAGACAUGCAAGUCGAGCGCCCGGACCCAUGAAACUUGAAGUGCUUGCACGGACGGUGGAUUGGAUUUUUCCGGGAGCGGCGGACGGGUGAGUAACACGUUGGGAUCUACCCCUUAGUGAGGGAUAACUCCGAGAAAUCGGGGCUAAUACCGCAUAUUGUCUUCGGACCAAAGCCUUCGGGCGCUAAGGGAGGACCCUGCGGCCUAUCAGCUUGUUGGUGAGGUAAUGGCUCACCAAGGCAUUGACGGGUAGCUGGUGUGAGAGCACGAUCAGCCACAAUGGAACUGAGACACGGUCCAU